GAGCAGUCUGGUAGCUCGUCGGGCUCAUAACCCGAAGGUCGUCGGUUCAAAUCCGGCUCCCGCAACCA
Molecule: transfer RNA, 68 nt
Filed under: Pseudomonas lundensis
Lineage: Bacteria; Pseudomonadati; Pseudomonadota; Gammaproteobacteria; Pseudomonadales; Pseudomonadaceae
Also listed under: 1 other name
Description: tRNA-Met
Rfam family: tRNA
About the family: Transfer RNA (tRNA) molecules are approximately 80 nucleotides in length. Their secondary structure includes four short double-helical elements and three loops (D, anti-codon, and T loops).
Source: RNAcentral